CGCUGUUGGGCUAUUGGUUGUAAACUUGAUUCGUUCGGUGUGAGGGGAGGUAUCUUUGAAACAAAUGAACCCUGAGGAAGCUCUACUCGAAACUUUGGACUAAGAUCAGGAGAAAGGGAGGACGGAGCUCCAACACUACCCUCUUCCAUAUGUACGCCAGGCCCCAGACAGCGUUCCCGAGGCUGGGCCCCAGAGCUACCCCAGGGACCCCCAUUUGUGGAGGAACCCUGGAGGAGCUGUAUGGAGGACUUCAAGUGAGAGGGACGGGCUGCAGGCUGCAGGGGCGUCCGGCCAGCGGCAGACGGAGCUGUAGGACCUGGAGUGGGAGCUACACGGCGAGGAGAGGAGGAGGGAGAAGGAGAGGAGGAGCAGGAGGAGGAGGGAGGAGUGGAGGAGAGAGGAGGCCCAUGAGCUCAAAAGAGGAGAGGCCCGAUCACUGCGGGGCACCAGGGCUCUCCACCAGGGCUGGCCCCGGACCUGCAACUGCCCUGGGGGGCCAAGCCAGACAGAGGGGCCCUCUUACACCAGAGCCGCCCCGUACACAAACAGGUCUGUUGUUGAACAUUAUCUGGAGGA
Molecule: long non-coding RNA, 576 nt
Organism: Gadus macrocephalus (Pacific cod)
Lineage: Eukaryota; Metazoa; Chordata; Actinopteri; Gadiformes; Gadidae
Exons: 3
Source: RefSeq, a predicted model, not a curated record